GACGAACGCUGGCGGCGUGCUUAACACAUGCAAGUCGAACGGAAAGGCCCUGCUUUUGUGGGGUGCUCGAGUGGCGAACGGGUGAGUAACACGUGAGUAACCUGCCCUUGACUUUGGGAUAACUUCAGGAAACUGGGGCUAAUACCGGAUAGGAGCUCCUGCUGCAUGGUGGGGGUUGGAAAGUUUCGGCGGUUGGGGAUGGACUCGCGGCUUAUCAGCUUGUUGGUGGGGUAGUGGCUUACCAAGGCUUUGACGGGUAGCCGGCCUGAGAGGGUGACCGGCCACAAUGGGACUGAGAUACGGCCCAGACUCCUACGGGACGCAGCAGUGGGGAAUAUUGCACAAUGGGCGGAAGCCUGAUGCAGCAACGCCGCGUGCGGGAUGACGGCCUUCGGGUUGUAAACCGCUUUCGCCUGUGACGAAGCGUGAGUGACGGUAAUGGGUAAAGAAGCACCGGCUAACUACGUG
RNAcentral lists this ribosomal RNA (468 nucleotides) under uncultured bacterium. RNAcentral describes it as "partial 16S ribosomal RNA". It matches the Rfam family "Bacterial small subunit ribosomal RNA", at positions 28 to 507 of the family's 1533-position model. The record is from RNAcentral.